RNAcentral lists this ribosomal RNA (834 nucleotides) under uncultured bacterium. Its description in RNAcentral is "bacterial SSU rRNA". It matches the Rfam family "Bacterial small subunit ribosomal RNA", at positions 58 to 882 of the family's 1533-position model. The record is from RNAcentral.
CAAGUCGAAGGGCAACGGGGAGAGUGCCUGCACUCUCUGCCGGCGACUGGCGCACGGGUGAGUAACACGUAUGCAACCUGCCCUCCACAGGGGGACAACCUUCCGAAAGGGAGGCUAAUCCCGCGUAUAUUCCCUGGGGGCAUCCCUGGGGGAGGAAAGGGUUACCGGUGGAGGAUGGGCAUGCGGCGCAUUAGGCAGUAGGCGGGGUAACGGCCCACCUAACCGACGAUGCGUAGGGGUUCUGAGAGGAAGGUCCCCCACACUGGUACUGAGACACGGACCAGACUCCUACGGGAGGCAGCAGUGAGGAAUAUUGGUCAAUGGGCGGGAGCCUGAACCAGCCAAGCCGCGUGAAGGAAGAAGGCGCCAGGCGUCGUAAACUUCUUUUGUCGGGGAACAAAGGGCGCCACGCGUGGCGUUGUGAGUGUACCCGAAGAAAAAGCAUCGGCUAACUCCGUGCCAGCAGCCGCGGUAAUACGGAGGAUGCGAGCGUUAUCCGGAUUUAUUGGGUUUAAAGGGUGCGUAGGCGGUCCGUUAAGUCAGCGGUAAAAUUGCGGGGCUCAACCCCGUCGAGCCGUUGAAACUGGCAGACUUGAGUUGGCGAGAAGUACGCGGAAUGCGCGGUGUAGCGGUGAAAUGCAUAGAUAUCGCGCAGAACUCCGAUUGCGAAGGCAGCGUACCGGCGCCAGACUGACGCUGAGGCACGAAAGCGUGGGGAUCGAACAGGAUUAGAUACCCUGGUAGUCCACGCAGUAAACGAUGAAUGCUGGUUGUCCGGGUCGAAUGAGACCUGGGCGGCGAAGCGAAAGCGAUAAGCAUUCCACCUGGGGAGUA